This is a long non-coding RNA of Sinocyclocheilus grahami, 276 nucleotides long. RefSeq lists it as uncharacterized. The record is from RefSeq and is a predicted model, not a curated record. The transcript is spliced from 3 exons. Lineage: Eukaryota; Metazoa; Chordata; Actinopteri; Cypriniformes; Cyprinidae.
AGAGAGGGACAGCUGUGUGGUGCUUAUAGAUCUCUGGUCACUUUCUCCCCAUAUGGAUCAGCUCAGAUACAGCUGCUCUGAGGGACCAUGUGUCUGGUGUUGGAUGACUCUGUUGAAUCUUGCUCCGCUCCCUGAAUCUUUCACAUAAUUGGAUCUCAUUUCUGUAACUGAAUAAAAUCCAGUACACUCCUCUGCCAUGCAAGAAACAUGGCUGACAAGCCCAACAUGACGGAAAUCACAUCCUUUGAUAAAACCAAACUCAGGAAGACAGAGACC